Molecule: long non-coding RNA, 153 nt
Organism: Strigops habroptila (Kakapo)
Lineage: Eukaryota; Metazoa; Chordata; Aves; Psittaciformes; Psittacidae
Exons: 3
Source: RefSeq, a predicted model, not a curated record
AGUAUAUAAAGUGGGGGGAGUUACCCGGAAGGCCCAGAUCCCUGCUCAGGUCGGGCUGGGUAUCAGUCGUCAGGUGGUGAGCGAUUGUGUUCUCUCACCUUGCUAUUUCCCUUAUCAUUAUUAUUGUUGGUGGUAUCAGCAGUGGUUUGGGUU